This 19-nucleotide unclassified non-coding RNA is filed under the name Mus musculus (house mouse). Its description in RNAcentral is "oocyte_clustered_small_RNA14344". The record is from RNAcentral. Lineage: Eukaryota; Metazoa; Chordata; Mammalia; Rodentia; Muridae.
UCCCACCGCCUGAGAAGGG